UAGGGAAUUUUGCGCAAUGGGGGAAACCCUGACGCAGCAACACCGCGUGAAUGUUAAGCCCUUCGGGGUGUAAAGUUCUGUCAGUGGGGACGAAAUAUGACUGUACCCACAAAGGAAGCACCGGCUAACUCCGUGCCAGCAGCCGCGGUAAUACGGAGGGUCCAAGCGUUAUCCGGAUUUAUUGGGUUUAAAGGGUGCGUAGGCGGUUAGAUAAGUUAGAGGUGAAAUAUUAGGGCUUAACCCUGAAACUGCCUCUAAUACUGUUUAACUAGAGAUUAGUUGCGGUAGGCGGAAUGUAUGGUGUAGCGGUGAAAUGCGUAGAUAUUAGGAGGAACACCAGUGGCGAAGGCGGCCUGCUGGGCUUUUACUGACGCUGAGGCUCGAAAGCAUGGGGAGCAAACA
Molecule: ribosomal RNA, 402 nt
Filed under: uncultured bacterium
Lineage: Bacteria
Description: bacterial SSU rRNA
Rfam family: Bacterial small subunit ribosomal RNA
Source: RNAcentral